AGACGUAGGGCGCAAGCGUUGUCCGGAUUUAUUGGGCGUAAAGAGCUCGUAGGCGGCCUGUCGCGUCAACCGUGAAAUCCCGCGGCUUAACUGUGGGCGUGCGGUUGAUACGGGUGGGCUGGAGUUCGGUAGGGGAGACUGGAAUUCCUGGUGUAGCGGUGAAAUGCGCAGAUAUCAGGAGGAACACCGGUGGCGAAGGCGGGUCUCUGGGCCGAUACUGACGCUGAGGAGCGAAAGCGUGGGGAGCGAACAGGAUUAGAUACCCUGGUAGUCCACGCUGUAAACGUUGGGCGCUAGGUGUGGGGGGCCUUCCCGGUUUCCUGUGCCGUAGCUAACGCAUUAAGCGCCCCGCCUGGGGAGUACGGCCGCAAGGCUAAA
RNAcentral lists this ribosomal RNA (378 nucleotides) under uncultured bacterium. Its description in RNAcentral is "bacterial SSU rRNA". It matches the Rfam family "Bacterial small subunit ribosomal RNA", at positions 523 to 898 of the family's 1533-position model. The record is from RNAcentral.